AAAAUUUGCCCUGUGAAUUGGACUGCUUGGGUGCGUUCCGUAGGGGGACCGCGGUCCUUUUUGGCCAUAAUCAGAGUGGAUCCAUAAAAAUUAAAAAUCUCCCUAGGAAUCCCUAAAAAAUAACCAGUCUCAUGUAUACUUUUUUUUACACCUUUCUAUGUAUGUAUUGUUAAUGUUGUGGAUGUGGUGCUUACUGAAUUUUGUACUGAAUAAAAUUAUUAAAACAAUAAAUUUGUUAAUAACAGUUAACAAAAUGAAAAGAAAAAUUCCACUUCAAACACAUUAUCUAUUGACUGAUGUCGGUAGUAAUUGUUGUUUUUGUUGAAAAUGAACAGCAACAUCAGCCAGUUUAAGAUCUUGAAAGAUAACAAAAAUAUAAGUGCUGUCCUAACCUUACAUUUGAGUUAUGAUAGGUUUUGAAGCAUUAACUUUGAAAAGAAAUACAAUUUACAGGCUAAAUAAUUGAGAUAACAACAAUAUACACCGACUAUUUUAAUUGACAAUUUUUUUUUUGAUGCCAAAUUAUUUUUUUCUUUAUAAUUCGUUAAUCAUAUUUUUCGGUGUUUACGUUUGCUUAUGUUUGUUUACGUUUUCUAAUACAUAGCAGUGCUGACACUACAACGAAAUUAAAUUCACCAUGAUAAACCACGCCUAUUUUUGGUAGACCGCGGUCCUCUACGGAACGCACCCCUACAGACCUUGCUUGUGAACAGUUGUGGAUUGUUUGUGGAUUGAUUGUCCUCACAUUUUAUAAUCAUAUUAACGUUGGUAAUCGAAAUUAUGAGUAGUAAAACGAGUGAGUUAUCAGCUAAUAACAAUUCCAGUUCUUUACACUCAUAACAAGUUUGCAAACUAAUUAACGUUGACUAGAAACAAUAAAACUUUAUGUCUAACGUAACCUAGUAUUUAUUAUUUGUCAACAUUUAUCAAAUCAGUUUUUAUUUAGAAAUAAAAGACAUUCCAAAAAAUAUUUCAUUUUCAUGUGAAGUAUCUGAGUUAAGUAUGGGCAAUGAAGAAAUUAAUAACGGAAAUGUUGAAACAUGGAAUAAUGCGAUAACUGUAUUGGAUUAUAAAAAUAAAAGAGAAAAUAAAUUUUUGAAUGUGUCAAAUGACAACAAUGUUAUUCAAGUGGAAAAUAUCAAUAAGUUUUCGUCGAGUCAGGUUGAUGAUAAACAGGAGCUAAGUGUAAGAGAUGAUAAUCCCGAUAUUACUGUCUUGGAAGAGCCUGAAAAAUCUCCUGAUUUCAUAACUCUUCCAUCGUUAUCAAAAAAAAAAGAUGAUACUCGAAGGAAAAUAAACAAAUCCCCUCAAGAAAUUUAUCAAGAACGACUUAAUGCAAAAGUUAAAGUUGUUAAAAAGAAAUUUACGAAACUAGCAAGAGUAUUGUACAAAAGUUAUCCAAUUUACGAGAACUGGUUAAAACGUGUUGAAGCAACAACAGGUGAUUCUGUUUGUAAAAUUGAACCACCAAAGCAAUGCCCUCCAGAACGUGCUCAAACUAAUCGUUGGAAAUUUGUUUGCAUAAGAAAACUCGAUGAAUCAUCAGAAUGCAAAUUGGGUCGUCAAAAUACCAAUAUAACUGUAAAUAAUAAAACAAUUAUCAAAACAGUUUGGAGAUUGGGCCCAAGUGAAGACUCGGUUGUUAAUGCAAAUAACAUAUUUAAAUCGUAUCCGCCAUUUGUCAUGCGCGCUGCAAAGAUGUUUGAAGAUUUCAUCAAUGGGUUUUUACCAUUAAAAGAUCAAACUAAUGAUGAAAUAACACAUUGUGAUGAUCAAAAAAAUCAAUGGUUAUUUUUAUUGGUACGUGCUAAUAGUAAAAAAGAAUUAUUACUAUUUGCAACUGGCAAAGAGGUCAGUAAUUCAUCAAUGGAUGGAUUAAAAAGAUUAUAUGAUACUGACGUCGGAAAAGAUUGUAACGUUAAAUCUUUGUACUGCAAAUCAAUAACAAAUACUAGUAAUAAUUUAACAUUAACAACAACAAUAUUUUUACUUGGUUCCGAAGCUCUUGAUGAAACGGUUGGUGGUUUGAAAAUUCAAUUACCACCAAAAACAAAUUUUUCAUCAAGUACUGUUGGUGCUGAAUUACUUGGUCAAGCUGUUGAUGAAUUAUUAGCACCAAAUGAUAAAAUAACGCUUGUUGAAAUUGGUUGUGGUCUUGGCUUAAUAUGUCUCAUGAUUGCAUCAAAAUGUGAAAAAGUCAUAGGAUACGAUUCAUUAUCAGAAAUUGAAGAAGCUGAAAUAACAUCUGAAUUAAAUAAAAUAAAAAAUGCAAAAUUUAUAACUGGACCAUCAAAUGAAGCAAUUGGUAGAAUAGCAACGUCAAUGAGAAAUUGUAAAUCAUCAGCAAUUGUUAAUGCAAAUACAAAAGUUGGAAGGGACAUUGAAAUAUUGAUGGGAUUACGUAAAAUAUCAACAUUACGUAAAGUCGUUAUGAUAACAACAAUGGCCAAACAAUCAAUACGUGCAAUAAUGGAAUUAAUAAAACCAGCAGACGAUGUUCACGGAAAUCCAUUUAUACCAAUACGUGCAUUAAUUGUUGAUACAAUGCCUAACGGACAAUUUUUCGAAGUUGCAAUAUUGAUGGAACGUCGUAUUAUGCAUAAACUAUUACGCCCCUUUAAUGAUCAAUCAAGUUCAACAAAAUCAAUUGAAAAUUUUUCAUCAGAAAAAAAUAUUCAGACAUCUGAAAAAUCAUUAAUUUUACCAAAAAUAGGUAAAUUUAAUAAUAAAGAUGAUAACAAAAAAAUCAAUGAUGAUAAUAAAAAGAAAAUUGUUGAUAAAUCAAUAUCGACUAAAACUGCUAAAGAUGACAUUGUUGAAAUAACAAAACUUGUUAAAAAUCCAUUUCACCAUGAUAGAUAUAAUAUUAAAAAUUGUGAUUUUACUGCUAAUAAUAAAAUAAAUCAACAAAAAAAUCUAACAAAUCGAACGAUACGAUCGAGAAAAAGAUCACGGAUUGAUUCACAUCGCUCAUUAUCACCAAAAAAACAUAGAAAUAAAUGCAUUAAUAAUAAAACAACGAAACAUAAUGACCCAUCAUCAACAUCAACAACAAAUCUAUCCCAUAAACGGGGUAAUAAUUCAGACUUACGUUCACGUUUGUCAAAUAACAUACAUAUUGAUGAUGAUUUAAUACAAACAUUUCAAAUACAGAAACAGAUACUUGAAAAUACAAUUGAAGAAUUAAAAAACCCAGUUAUUAAUCAAGAUGAUUUAAAUAAUAUAGCUAUUGAUAAAAUUAAUAAAGUACAAUUGCAACUAUCACGUUCCGUGUGGGAUCGUAUUGCACCACCAGAUAAUAUAACUAAUAUCGAUUUUAAUAAUACAACAUUAAAAGGUAGCAUCGUACAUGAAAAAAGUAAUAAAAAUUUCGUUAUUAUGACACCAAAUCACCAAUUUUUAGAAUCACGUAAUAAUUAUAAAAAAUAUAAUAAUAUACAAAUUGCGGAACCAAAUCAAGUAAUGCCAAAUGAGCGUUAUUUGGUUUUGAAUGAAACACGUGAUAAUGAUCAUUAUCGAUAUCAAAGUAAUAAACAACAAACCGAUGAAAAAACUCCCGAUAAUUGGCCAUUAUCAGUUGGUGUAUCACGUAAACCAGCAUCACCAAGUUGGAUUGAUACUCAUUUAUCACCAUCAAAACGUCGAAUUUUAUCCCCACUCCAUCGUUCAGUAGUUUCCUCUUCUAGCCGACCAGUUGUUUUAGCACGUUGUCGAAAAGUUUCACCACCGAGUCGUUCUAUUAUGACACAACCAAGACGUUCAUUAUUGUCACCGCCACAUCCUCGGGUACCAUCGCCCUCAUCACGACGACUAAUGUCACUGCAUAGAAGACACUAUUCACGUGAAAGGUUUUACCAACAACUGUCUUUAUCAUCGUCAACAUCAUCGUUUCGUCCAUUAUGUGUUGAUGAUAUGCAAAAAAAAGUAACACUUUCACGGCUUAAUUCAUCACCACCAAGAAAACAAUCAUGUCAACGUCUUUCAAACUCAAAUACACGUCAGAAUUAUGAAAAUACAAUGCAAACUAGUGGCCAAGCAUUAAAACCGUUAAUACAACAAAGAAGAUUAUCAUCAUCGCCAGUGGAAUUGAUUGAUGAUUGGGAUAUACCAAGUCGAGGUGCUAUUGAAAAACAUGAUGAUUGGCAAAAACAAAAGUGUCCACAAUCAAUGUUAAAUUGGGAUAGAACAAAACGGAUUGAUUUAAAUAAUUUUCGUAAUGAUGAUUUACGGAUUAAUAAAAAUCAAGCUAAUGUUGUAAAUGAUAAACUAGUAUCAUCAAAUAUGUUUGAUAACCGAUGGAAUGAUCCUGUACUGAAUGGAAAAAGUAGUAUUGACAGUUGGGGUGUACACGAUAACGAAUCAUUUGUUAAAUACACAAAUAAUUUACGUGAUGAUUCUUGGAUUGAAUCAAAUAAUAAUAAAUCUGAUGAUAACAGAUCGAGAUUGGAACAACAGAAUAUAUCGAGAAAUUGGAAUCAAAAUAAUGAAAGAGAAGAUUGGAAUGAUUUACCAGAAGAUGCUAGAGAUCCUUGGGCUGAUGAUGCGGUUAAUGUUGAUAAGGAUCGUUUCCAAAAUUCAACUCAACAAGCUAAUUGGUCUAGAAACAAAAACCAACAAGUUGAAUGUGCUGGCUCAUUAAAAAAUAAACAAUCAAUUCCACCAUUAAUCAACACAAAUUCAUCGCAACAAAAUUGGCACAAAAAUAGCAUGGUUAAUCAACAUUUGUUGAAAAAUUCAUGCUGGACUAGUAAUGCAAAUCAUAAUUUGGUCAAGAAAAAUUUACCAGGUAGUAUUUGGGUUCAACAUAAUACUGCUAGUACAUGGAGAAAUUUUCCACAGUAAUUUUCAACAGAUGCAACAACGUUAAAGACUGAAGACCAUUUGACGGGUUUGACCAGGAUAGCUAUUCUCGACAUAAUUAUCCCCUGUACCGGGGAUAACAUGAAAAUGCUCGAAAGCGAUAUAGUCGUUUGAUGGAAACCAUUGAAGAAGAUACAAAUAAAGCCAUAAAUUAAGGGCUCAAACUCACGACAAGCUAACUUCCGCUUGUAAAACGCACUUUAUUUAAGGGAUGUGCGAUAUCAGACGAUAUAUUGAAGGACCCGAUAUUUUUGCUCGAUAUCGACGAUAUAUUUCGAUAUGAUAAGCGUCAAAUAUCGGAUAUUCGAUAUCACUUUCGGAAUAUCGUCUCGAAAAUAUCGGUUGAUAUACCGACUGAAAAACUACUGCCCAAUAAAUUUUAAUGGCGGCUUGAAUGGCCACAGCCAAUCAAAGAUCAAAAAAUAUUCAAACGUAUUAAUUUAAUUAGCUGUGAAUUUAUGAGUUUUAAAUUGACAGUUGACAAUUGAUAAUUAAUAAUUAUUAAUAACAAAAUAAUUGGAAACUAUAAUCAGUAGUAAAAAAAUUGAGGAAUUGUGUAUUCAUUAUUGCAUAGUCAUGUUUCAAUAAAAUGUUGAUUAAUAA
This 5463-nucleotide unclassified non-coding RNA is filed under the name Aphidius gifuensis. RNAcentral's name for it is "homeobox protein 2-like, transcript variant X2". Lineage: Eukaryota; Metazoa; Arthropoda; Insecta; Hymenoptera; Braconidae. The record is from RNAcentral.